RNAcentral lists this ribosomal RNA (326 nucleotides) under uncultured Spirochaetota bacterium. Its description in RNAcentral is "bacterial SSU rRNA". It matches the Rfam family "Bacterial small subunit ribosomal RNA", at positions 29 to 351 of the family's 1533-position model. The record is from RNAcentral. Lineage: Bacteria; Pseudomonadati; Spirochaetota.
AACGAACGCUGGCGGCGUGUCUUAAGCAUGCAAGUCGAGCGGCAAGGGCCAGCAAUGGCCCCUAGAGCGGCGGACUGGUGAGUAACACGUGGGUGAUCUACCUCGGGGUUGGGGAUAGCCAUUAGAAAUAGUGGGUAAUACCGAAUACGCUUCCAUGGCUGCGGCCGUGGAAGGAAAGGCGCUACGGCGCCGACCUGGGAUGAGCCCGCGCCCCAUUAGCUAGUUGGUGAGGUAAUGGCCCACCAAGGCUAUGAUGGGUAGGCGGCCUGAGAGGGUGUACGCCCACAUUGGGACUGAGAUACGGCCCAAACUCCUACGGGAGGCAG